CACUUAGGGAGGUUAGACUCACACCAUCCGGCUACAGGGGACCUGCCCCUUAAAGAGGCAGGAAAUGUUUCCGUCCUAUGCAAUUUUAUAGCAUUGGCCCAUAGCUGGCUUUGGGAUUUUUUUUUUUUUUCUUUGUCUCCCUCACUUUAUCUGAAAAGGCUAGUGGGAACGGAGGGAAAGGAAAGGGGCCGUUGGCACCUGGGUACGGAGUGAGUUCGAUUCCCAUCCAUUCUCUGUUCUCGGGGCGUGUUUCGUUUCACAUUUCAUGUCUGGAAUGUUGACUCUGCCCUUAAAGACUGACCCCGCCGCUGACCAGAGCCUCUCCACGGCCGUAACCUGGAGGCUGGACUGGAGCCUUGAGCUGUUUGCCAGAUCUUUCUGUGAUCUUGCUGAACACAGGGUGAGACCUCACUGCAAGUUAACAGACCCAGCUUCUGAGUAUACGGGUUGGGAAGGAAGGUCAGGGACUUCAUUUCAGAGGAAACGCUGUCUUCUCAGGCAUUCAUUCACUCAUCUGCAGGUAGGUGAGACACAGGCACAAAUGUUUCUUUGCAAUGAGUAAAGCAUAUGAUGUGUCCCAUGGUGAUAAAUUCUGUGGUGAAAAUAAAGCAAGGUACGGUGAUAAUGCUGGGCUGCGGAUGGGGAAAUGUCAGGUAGAGUGUCUUUGGAUUUGUUUGAACUCUCGGUUGAUAAUCUGAAAUUCCUAUACCUGUUGGCUCUCAUGGUGGGUAAAUGAGCUCUUAACACUCAACAUUAUGAGAAGAAACAUCAUCAUUGCACUAGAUGAGUAAUUGGCUGGAGUUCCCAUUGUGGCUCAGUGGGUUAAGAACCCAGCCUCGUCCUAAGGAUGCAGUUUCAGUCCCAGUCUCGCUCAGUGGGUUAAGGAUGCCAUGUUGCCAUGGCAGUGGCGUAAGCUGGCAUCGGCAGCUCCGAUUCGACCCCUAGCCUGGGAACUUCCAUAUGCGGAGAUUGUGACUGUAAAAAGAAAAUUUUAAAGAAAACAGAAGUAGUUGGCUAUCUGAUCCUCAUUUCAUGGAGGAAAGGGAAAAUUGUCAUUUAUUGAACACUUGGCUUUGCUGGGCUUUGAAACUGUUAGUGCUGUUAUAGCGGCAAUUCAGUCCCCCCUUGAACUUCUUUGUGUGCACCUUUGAAAUAACACACUGGGCCAAGUGAAAGUAGUACCUUGGUCCACCCAGAAAAUCAGGAAGCAGAACACAGAAGUUGACAGAUGUUGCUUUGUUGGAGACAAACGCCACAGUGACGUAAACAUUUUCUUUUUGGGACCAGAAGCCCCCGCAAGCCAGGAAACCAUCCUUUCCCACUCCCUUCAUCCAUCAGGCAUCUUCUGAAGAGACAGAAGGAUCCAGUGCUUCAGAGAUUCUGAUCAGCAUGCUCAGGUGGCCACAUAUGAAAACACUCUUUGGAGUUCCCGUUGUGGCUCAGUGGAUUAAGGGCCUGACAUAGUCUCCAUGAGGAUGCAGGUUCAGUCCCUGGCCUUGCUCAGUGGGUUAAGGAUCCAGUGUUGCCAUGGCUGCAGCAUAGGCCUCAGUUGCAGCUCCGAUUCAACCCCUGGCCCAGGACUUCCAUAGGCUGCAGGCGUGGCUGGAAAAAAGAGAAAAGGAAAAAAAGAAAGAAAAUACACCAAGGCCCACCCCCCGGUGCUAAGCUCCGCAAGAAAGCAGGGCCUGGGAACAGGACGUGAGUUUGAUACAGGCUCUGAACACACUGAAAAGCUUGAGAAGCAGUCUUACAGACAGCUUAGUGGAUUUGCCUGUUAUACUGAAAUGUUCACAAAACCGCUUCUAGGAGCGUUGUGCAGAGAUGGUGAUGCCUCAUCGACAUCUAAGCCCCGUCGCGCCUGCCCUGAGCAAUGUGUGGACUGCCUCUGUCCUCGGAAACGAAGCCUAGACCUCCAGCUCCCAGACGGUGGCAGGGAGCUCUGUGACCCCGUCUCCCAUCCGCGAACCCAGGGGGUGUGCCGAGCGGGGGUGGAGGUGAGAUUGGAGAAGGGCUGCUUCUGGGGGCGCUUUCCAACAGGACUGAGAAGGACUGGUUCCCACAGCCUCUCGGGGGCUGGGUGAAGAAUUUGGCCCUUACAGCCCCUUCCCUGGAACCCAGUGGGCCUCUUCUCCGCCUCCUCCGUCUGCCUGGGAGCCCACACGUCUCCACCGGGUGGGGGCAGGGCAAGGGUUUCCCAGGCCCGGGACGCAGUCCAGAAGUUCAUGCCAGUAAGGUCAGGAUUUCCUGCAGCCUCUGCACUCAAGUUUCCUCCGGGUCAGCUGGUCCCCAGAGCGGGUCCCGGAGCCCCCCAGACACCGCUGCGGGCGCUGCUUCCUAUGGAUUCUGCCCUUUCCCACACUCUAGGGAGGAAAACAACAAACCAAACCAAACCAAACCUUUGUAUCCCUAGCUUCUUAUCUGCCUUCCUUAUCCUAUAUGCCUGCCUUCCUUAUCUCUCCUCAUCCUACUCCAAAUUUGAAUACAAGUCACCUAAAAUUAUUCUCAAGAUUUUUAAAGCUGCAGAUCCACGGCAUCACCCCUUCGGUCCCCCCAUGAAACAGUUGGGAUGUGACCCUGUGCCCCAGCCCACCAGUGGGGUUGCUCUGCCCUGCUUGGGAGCAGUAACAGCUCCAGCCUCCUCUUGAACUUGUGCCAAGACAUCCUGUGUUUAAGGAGGGUUGAAAUUCCCCACGGCGUUUUCUUUCUGGUGUCUUAAAUAGUUGCUUAUGUUUCCCACAGGAAACUUUACAGUUAGUGUGCAUUCCUAAAUCGAUUUCCCCCCGCCUCGUGUUUCCUUUCCUCUUGAGCAAAUCCUCAGGCGAUGCAGGAUGGGCUUUUUUGCCAGUGUGACCUCUCAUGGCAGCACGAGACAUUUCCCUUUGCACCGCGCGCUUUGAUCCAUGGGAGCCAGUUUUCUUAUUUGCUCUGUACAUCUCAGCCAUUGCCUUGUUCAGGACUCUGUUGCACACGUGAGAAGCAUCUCCAAAGUCCAAUCAGCUCCCCUUAUUUUUUUUCAACUCACUAAUGGUUUUCUCUUAACAGCUCCAAGGGCUCCUUGUGGGGCUGGCCAUGUGACACCAGCCCCUCCAAACUCUCAAAGCCAAUGUCAGUUUGCCAGGUAUCAUUUCCGGGUUAUACAUGAAGCACCGCAGCAAAGGGAAACAGACUUGCUCAGCUAGAAGUGCCUGGUAGCCACAGAGAAAUGUUCCCAGUUAGAACCCUCUAGGGGGUAGGUCAUUUCAGAGCAUUUCUUUUGAAGGGGUAAAAAGACCAAUCAGAAAAUAGAAUCAAGGAAUUCCCAUCAUGGCUCAGUGGUAAUGAACCCGACUGGUAUCCAUAAGGAUACAGGUUUGAUCCCUGGCCUCGCUCAGUGGGUCAAGGAUCCAGCAUUGCCAUGAGCUGAGUUGUAGGUCACAGACAUGGCUUGGAUUCUGCGUUGCUGUGGCUGUGGUGUAGGCAGGCAGCUACAGCUCUGAUUCAGCCCCUAGCCUGGAAACCUCCAUAUGCCCCUGGUGUGGC
This 3519-nucleotide long non-coding RNA is filed under the name Sus scrofa (pig). Its description in RNAcentral is "lncRNA (ENSSSCG00000058106.1)". The record is from RNAcentral. Lineage: Eukaryota; Metazoa; Chordata; Mammalia; Artiodactyla; Suidae.